AUCUUUAUUAUUCAUAAUAAUUAAUUGCCAUAUAUAUGUAAAUCAUAUUAGGUAAUUCCGUAGCUUUUAUUUAAAGAAAGAAUACAUACUUCUUAUAUUUUAUGUUAAUAUAAUGUUCUCUAGUGUUAUAUAAUUAUGGAAUAAUGUGACACCAUUAGAUUAAACUAUAUUUUAUAUUAGAUGUUCUAGAAUUCUUUGAAAUUGAAUUUAUAAGACAUUUAGAGUGUCACCUAGAAUUUGAAAUUUUUUUUAAUUAAUACAAAAUUAAGGUUUUAAUUUUUCAAAUGUUUCUCGGGAUGUUUUUAAACGUCUUAUAUGAUAGUUACUGGCUUCUGUAUAUAGUCUGUUUACGGUUUGAAACACUAGAGUACAAAUUACUUUUGGUCAUUGUUUGGAGAUAAUAUCUUGGGUCAAAAGUCAUAGUUAAAAGUCAUUUUCAAAUAUAAUUGAAAGUGGACUAAGGCAUAUGGAUUGAGAGGUAAUGGGCAUAUUUGCAAAAUGCCCCAUCUAAUUAUUCUGACUGAUAUUUUAAUGAGUAAAUUAGCUAAAUAUACUAACAAAGGUGGGAUAUCAUUGAAUGGGGGAAAAAUGGUAAUGUUGGGGGGAAGAAAAUUGGAGGGAUAUAGAGUAUGAAGUGCAAAUAAAGAAAAAGUUGUGUGUAGGAAGUACAAAUUCUCUAUUUUAAUUGUGCCUUGAAUAUUUCUUGGUCAAAGGUUUUUGUGUAGAAAAGAAGAAAAAGAAUAAGGCUUGUUAGAAACUUUCAAAUUUAGGUGUUUUAAUUGGUAGCACAAAAGGGACGUGGUCUACCGAAGCAAUUAAUUAAUUAAUAGUUUCAUUAAAUGGUCUUUAGACCAAAUUAAAUUAAACUUGACUCGAUCUCUUAGCAUGUGGUGGACCGUAUCUAUCUCUUUCCUUUGAAAAUUCUCAUGUGAAGAGAGUUGAUGAUGAGGGCCCUACUUCCACUAUAGUGGUGCCAUUGAGAGCGAUUGCGGUUGACCCAUUUACAACUUUUCUUUCCUUUAUAAGAAAUAAAAGUAUUUCCUUUUUUUUUCACUUCGCACUAUUUUAAUAAAAAACAAUUUUGUUCGAUAUUCUAUUGGUAAUCUUACUCAGUAGAAUUUUUUUUUUGUUCAACUCUCACUAGAAUCUAAUCCUUUUUUUUUGCGAUGAUGUUUGUACCUAAAUUUCUUCAAUAUAUGUGCAUUAUAUAUCAAGAUUUAGAUGCCAAGUGUUUCUUUUUAUAUAUGUAGAAAUAAUAAUUCGAAUUGGUAGAUUCUAAACAACAACAAAUACAAUAGGAGAGAAAACACCUUAUUCAUUGUGUAAAAUCUAAUUUACUAGUUACCAAAAAGUUAAUCAUUUUGUGGUUUUGAAAUAAAGCAAAGCAAUAAAAGUCAAAAAGUAAUGGAGAUGUGGUGCGAAUAGCAAUAAUGUUUCAAAGUGGGUUUUGACGUCUUGUGAGUUGUGACCAUGAACCUACACAUUUCCUCAGACAAAAACAAACAGAAAAUACAGCAAGAAAAUUAGCCAGAACACAGAAUGGGCCUAAUAUCAGACAUUGUCAAGGGCUAUCUAUAAGUUUAUAUGCAACUAAUAAAAUUUAUGCAAUUCAAAAACCAAUUCGUAUGAUAAAGUUAUAAAUGUGGUAAGUGCGGUUAGUUCUGGAGCUUUUAAAGAUGCUUUCAUUUUUGUAAGUGUUGCGUUUUUCAAUUCAAAGUUAAUUGGUGAUUGUUAUAAGAUAAACUUUGAAAUGAUC
This is a long non-coding RNA of Brassica napus (rape), 1756 nucleotides long. RefSeq lists it as uncharacterized. The transcript has 2 exons. The record is from RefSeq and is a predicted model, not a curated record. Lineage: Eukaryota; Viridiplantae; Streptophyta; Magnoliopsida; Brassicales; Brassicaceae.